RNAcentral lists this long non-coding RNA (1021 nucleotides) under Homo sapiens (human). RNAcentral describes it as "HSALNT0376601". Lineage: Eukaryota; Metazoa; Chordata; Mammalia; Primates; Hominidae. The record is from RNAcentral.
GCUAUGAAGAAAUACCCAAGACUGGGUACUUUCUCAACUUUCAAAUUGAGCUGUUCAGAAUGUGUGAAACAAUUUUAAGAUGAAGUCAAAGAUACUUGAAGCAGAAGCUGUAUCUGAGGAAGCUGUAUAUAAACCCAAUUUAAAGCAAGUUUAACCUGCUGAUUGGGAAGAAUUUUUAUGAAAAGCUGUGUGCUUCCUGAUAAGAAAAAAGGCUUUCCUGUUUCGAUCAAACCAGAACCAGAUGAGAACUCAGCACAGGCACUGCAGCCACGGAGGUUUCCAGAUAGAAAAAUUGACACCCCUGAGAUCCCAUAACAUUUUGGGGACUCAUCUGGGAUCUGCGGAAGGAGCUUGACUCUUUUCAUUGGCAAUAAAUGGCGCCCCAACAUGGGGACUCAGAGAAGACUCAGGAGCCCCAAGCAGUUGUCCGAAAUCAGAGCUAAGGUACCAGCCAGGGUUAAUUGAAGACUCACCAAGUUCAAGCUUCUCCUUUGGUGGAACUGUCUCCCUGGCUUGAAAUCAUUGCACCAGAAGAGGCACUGGGACACAGAGCUGAGAUUGAAGAACACUUGAAAAUUAUCAAGAAUGUACUGCGGAGUAUUGAAAUUGCAAGUUAUCAUCAAAGGAAGCUGAAUCAUACCUUCCCUGUUUCAAAUAACAAGCAUCAAGCAUCGUGAUAAUGUGGACACUAAGGAGCAACAAUUUCUCUAAAGAUAAGAAUAAAGAUAGACUUUUAGACUACGAGAUGGGCCUGAAAAAAUAUCUGAUCAAGCUACUCAGUUUUACAGAUGAAGAAGGUGAAGCCUGGGAAAACCUAAAGAACCUAUAUAAGGUUCUCAGAUAGACACCAUGUUAUCUGCUUGAAUGAAGAAAAUUUGGUAACAUGUUUGCUGAUCUUAAUCUACUAUACAUUUUUUUAGCUUGUCAACUUGAACAAGUUUCUCAAUUAUUUCCUCAUCUAUUUUUUCUGAUAAACUUAACCAAAUCUUGUAAAAUGAAUGUUUUGAAAACGUAUAUCUUA